GAGCUCCUAUGUAUGAUUUAUCAGUGGUCGUACAGGCAGAAAUUCAACAGGUGUAUUUUUGGCAUAAUGAAGAUGCUGUGACGGGAAACACCUGGGGCAAUAAUGCAGUGAUUAAAAGUGCAGGAACUCUGCCUCCCCCUCUCCCACAACAUGGCAACCCUCCUAUGCUAUGGUGGAAUAUGAUUUUGGCUGGCUAAGAACAGGAUCAAGAGUGAGGUAAUAACAAUAACUACAUUCAACAUCAGAAAGAUUAUAUGCAUUGGGAAAUGAUAGGAAGCCUAUUUUAUGUUAGCAAAAAGAUAGGGAAAAGGAGAUUGUACAAAUUUAAUUUAGAUUUAAUUUCUGUAAACAUGCAUAAUACUAUUAGUAUAUGAUUGUUUUCAUUUUUGUUUAUUUAAGAGUGUGUAUGUUAUUCAUGAAUUUCAAUAAAAUAAAAUAAAAUACAGUGGUACCUUGGGUUAAGUACUUAAUUCGUUCCGGAGGUCUGUUCUUAACCUGAAAUUGUCCUUAACCUGAAGCACCACUUUAGCUAAUGGGGCCUCCUGCUGCCGUUGCGCCACAGGAGCAUGAUUUCUGUUCUCAUCUUGAAGCAAAGUUCUUAACCCGAGGUAAUAUUUCUGGAUUAGCGGAGUCUCUAACCUGAAGCGUAUGUAACCCAAGGUACCACUGUAAAGAGAACAGGAUCAAGAUCUCAUGACUUUUGAUCACUUAUUUGGAGUAAAUAACAAAGACAAUGACUAGACCAGUGAUCAGGGUUGAUGGGAGCUUUAGUCCAACAACAGCUGGGGCACAACCUCCAAGUGUCCCUAUUUUCCAGGGACAUCCCUGAUUUAGAGAAGCCGUCCCAGUUUCUGAUUUGAUCCCAGAAUGUCCCACUUUUCCUUAGGAUGUCCCUAUUUUCAUUGGAGAAAUGAUGGAGGGUAGUGAGUUUUCUGACCCCCCAAGCCGUCUGAAGGCAAUCCUGCAGAGGGAAGUUUUUAAAAAUGUUUAAUGUUUUAUUAUGUUUUUAUAUAUGUUGGAAGCUGCCCAGAGUGGUUGGGGCAACCCAGUAAGAUGGGGGGAGGGGCUAUAAAGAGUAAAAUUAUCAUUAUGGAAUGGGACAUCCCUAUUUUCAUCAGAGAAAUGUUGGAGGGUACGUUGGGGACCCAAGUUUGAGAAAGGGUGGUAGACUUUGCACUCGUGAAACAUUUGCUUGGAUGUGACACAGGAAACUUCAGAAGAUAGCAGCAAACAAGGACUGAUGUUCUAUAAGCAGGAGUUGUAAAUGAAGUCUCCUAUUGUGGCCGUGUAAGGUCUCAAUUAAGGGAAAGAGGGGAAAGUAGGAGAUAUGAUGGAAAACCUAAAAACAAAAGUGAAAUUAUAGCCCAAAGCAGGGUGUUAGUGGAGAAAAGUAUGCUUCUGGGAAGUGAAGAAUGAAAUCUUACAGAGCCUGCCAGUUCCCCUGGGCAUUCUGGUAAACACUUCCAGCUGAAGGAUUCACUGAUAAAACUGCCCUAAUGUAACUUUGAAUUUGCUGCUAGAUUCUGUGGGAAUCUUGAUGGACCAUAUGGUAACAAAGCCAUAUUCUGCAAUGUAAUAGUAAGCUUAAAACUAAUCAUCUGAAUUCUUUCACAGCGACCCUUUUGUUUAUCUUCUGCCACCUCUGCAGCUGAAUCUUGAGAAGAAAACCGAUUUGUAAUUUAAAAAGUCUUUGCAACUCAAAGUCUGAUUUCAAACAGAAGCAUUCCAAGGCCUAGUUAGGCUUGCUGAAUCAGCACACUGGACACCUGCAAGCCUCAAGGGAUCUAUGAUAAUGCUUGUGUUAAUUCCUGCUGGUCUGAAUGGAAGGUGAGAAACCAGCACAAUUAGGUUAAUGACACAACAACAACAACAACAACAACAACAACAACCUGUUACAUCGAACCUCCAAUGCUAUUUGGUACCUUUCUUUUUUUUAGUCCCCCCCCACACACACACUUCUGGGCUAGUACGCAGCUACCUACACAGUAAAGGCAACCCCCAUUUUAGGCAUGACCAAUAUGUGCGCAAUCACACACAUGUUCCAAACCCAGAAGUGAUCCAGAAACAUCAUGAAUGACAUCACUAAAAGGGUGGGGUGAGGGUGGAAUGACACAGAG
Molecule: long non-coding RNA, 2117 nt
Filed under: Podarcis lilfordi (Lilford's wall lizard)
Lineage: Eukaryota; Metazoa; Chordata; Lepidosauria; Squamata; Lacertidae
Source: RNAcentral